GACUACUGGGGUAUCUAAGCCUGUUUGCUACCCACGCUUUCGCGCCUCAGCGUCAGUUACUGUCCAGGUGGCCGCCUUCGCCACUGGUGUUCCUCCUCAUCUCUACGCAUUUCACCGCUACACGAGGAAUUCCACCACCCUCUCCAGUACUCUAGCCUUCCAGUCUCAGAUGCAGUUCCCAAGUUAAGCUCGGGGAUUACACAUCUGACUUAAAAAACCGCCUACGCGCCCUUUACGCCCAAUAAUUCCGAAUAACGCUUGCCCCCUCUGUAUUACCGCGGCUGCUGGCACAGAGUUAGCCGGGGCUUCCUCUCCAGGUACCGUCAAAUGAAAGCGCUAUUAACGCCCCCACCUUCGUCCCUGACGACAGGGUUUUACAGUCCGAAGACCUUCAUCACCCACGCGGCGUUGCUGCGUCAGACUUUCGUCCAUUGCGCAAAAUUCCCCACUGCAGCCGCCCGUAGG
This 465-nucleotide ribosomal RNA is filed under the name uncultured Geothrix sp. RNAcentral describes it as "partial 16S ribosomal RNA". The record is from RNAcentral. Lineage: Bacteria; Pseudomonadati; Acidobacteriota; Holophagae; Holophagales; Holophagaceae.